GACGAACGCUGGCGGCGCGCUUAACACAUGCAAGUCGAGCGAUGAAACUUUAACAGAACCCUUCGGGGCGAAGAUAAAGUGGAUUAGCGGCGGACGGGUGAGUAACACGUGAGUAACCUGCCUUAGACAUUGGGAUAGCCUCGGGAAACCGGGAUUAAUACCAAAUAAAAUCAUAAUGACACAUGUCAUAACGAUCAAAACUCCGGUGGUCUAAGAUGGACUCGCGUCCCAUUAGCUAGUUGGUAGAGUAAAAGCCUACCAAGGCGACGAUGGGUAGCCGGCCUGAGAGGGUGAACGGCCACAUUGGAACUGAGAAACGGUCCAAACUCCUACGGGAGGCAGCAGUGGGGAAUAUUGCACAAUGGAGGGAACUCUGAUGCAGCGACGCCGCGUGAACGAAGAAGGCUUUCGAGUCGUAAAGUUCUUUUAUAUGGGAAGAUAAUGACGGUACCUUAAGAAAAAGCCCCGGCUAACUACGUG
RNAcentral lists this ribosomal RNA (480 nucleotides) under uncultured bacterium. RNAcentral's name for it is "partial 16S ribosomal RNA". It matches the Rfam family "Bacterial small subunit ribosomal RNA", at positions 28 to 507 of the family's 1533-position model. The record is from RNAcentral.